This 463-nucleotide ribosomal RNA is filed under the name uncultured bacterium. Its description in RNAcentral is "partial 16S ribosomal RNA". It matches the Rfam family "Bacterial small subunit ribosomal RNA", at positions 28 to 506 of the family's 1533-position model. The record is from RNAcentral.
GACGAACGCUGGCGGCGUGCUUAACACAUGCCAGUCGAACGGUAAGGCCCCAGCUUGCUGGGGUACACGAGUGGCGAACGGGUGAGUAACACGUGGGUGACCUGCCCCGCACUUCGGGAUAAGCCUGGGAAACUGGGUCUAAUACCGGAUAGGACCGCACCGUGAGGGUGUGGUGGAAAGUUUUUCGGUGUGGGAUGGGCCCGCGGCCUAUCAGCUUGUUGGUGGGGUAAUGGCCUACCAAGGCGGCGACGGGUAGCCGGCCUGAGAGGGUGGACGGCCACAUUGGGACUGAGACACGGCCCAGACUCCUACGGGAGGCAGCAGUGGGGAAUAUUGCACAAUGGGCGGAAGCCGGAUGCAGCGACGCCGCGUGGGGGAUGACGGCCUUCGGGUUGUAAACUCCUUUCACCAUCGACGAAGGUUUUCUGACGGUAGAUGGAGAAGAAGCACCGGCUAACUACGU